GACGAACGCUGGCGGCGUGCUUAACACAUGCAAGUCGAACGGUAAGGCCCUUCGGGGUACACGAGUGGCGAACGGGUGAGUAACACGUGGGUAAUCUGCCCUGCACAUCGGGAUAAGCCUGGGAAACUGGGUCUAAUACCGAAUAGGACCACAGGACACAUGUCCUGUGGUGGAAAGCUUUUGCGGUGUGGGAUGGGCCCGCGGCCUAUCAGCUUGUUGGUGGGGUGAUGGCCUACCAAGGCGACGACGGGUAGCCGGCCUGAGAGGGUGUCCGGCCACACUGGGACUGAGAUACGGCCCAGACUCCUACGGGAGGCAGCAGUGGGGAAUAUUGCACAAUGGGCGAAAGCCUGAUGCAGCGACGCCGCGUGGGGGAUGACGGCCUUCGGGUUGUAAACCUCUUUCACCAGCGACGAAGGUCCGGGUUUUCUCGGGCUGACGGUAGGUGGAGAAGAAGCACCGGCCAACUACGUG
RNAcentral lists this ribosomal RNA (474 nucleotides) under uncultured bacterium. RNAcentral describes it as "partial 16S ribosomal RNA". It matches the Rfam family "Bacterial small subunit ribosomal RNA", at positions 28 to 507 of the family's 1533-position model. The record is from RNAcentral.